UACGUAGGGUGCGAGCGUUAAUCGGAAUUACUGGGCGUAAAGCGUGCGCAGGCGGUGAUGUAAGACAGGUGUGAAAUCCCCGGGCUUAACCUGGGAAUUGCAUUUGUGACUGCAUCGCUGGAGUGCGGUAGAGGGGGAUGGAAUUCCGCGUGUAGCAGUGAAAUGCGUAGAUAUGCGGAGGAACACCGAUGGCGAAGGCAAUCCCCUGGGCCUGUACUGACGCUCAUGCACGAAAGCGUGGGGAGCAAACAGG
RNAcentral lists this ribosomal RNA (253 nucleotides) under uncultured bacterium. RNAcentral's name for it is "partial 16S ribosomal RNA". It matches the Rfam family "Bacterial small subunit ribosomal RNA", at positions 524 to 776 of the family's 1533-position model. The record is from RNAcentral.